ACUACGGGUGGCAGCAGUGGGGAAUAUUGGACAAUGGGGGGAACCCUGAUCCAGCGACGCCGCGUGAGUGAAGAAGUAUUUCGGUAUGUAAAGCUCUAUCAGCAGGGACGAAAGAAACGACGGUACCUGACUAAGAAGCCCCUGCUAACUACGUGCCAGCAGCCGAGGUAAUACGGAGGGGGCAAGCGUGAUCCGGAUUUACUGGGUGUAAAGGGAGCGUAGACGGCGAUGCAAGUCUGAAGUGAAACGCGGGGGCCCAACCCCCGGACUGCUUUGGAAACUGGAUGGCUGGAGUACAGGAGAGGUAAGUGGAAUUCCUAGUGUAGCGGUGAAAUGCGUAGAUAUUAGGAGGAACACCAGUGGCGAAGGCGGCUUACUGGACUGUAACUGACGUUGAGGCUCGAAAGCGUGGGGAGCAAACAGGAUUAGAUACCCUAGUAGUC
RNAcentral lists this ribosomal RNA (443 nucleotides) under uncultured bacterium. Its description in RNAcentral is "partial 16S ribosomal RNA". It matches the Rfam family "Bacterial small subunit ribosomal RNA", at positions 338 to 795 of the family's 1533-position model. The record is from RNAcentral.